This 60-nucleotide small RNA is filed under the name Sinorhizobium meliloti 2011. Its description in RNAcentral is "putative ncRNA". The record is from RNAcentral. Lineage: Bacteria; Pseudomonadati; Pseudomonadota; Alphaproteobacteria; Hyphomicrobiales; Rhizobiaceae.
GAUGGGCGACUUCUCGGGCACGGCGAUCCUUCCUGUCCUGCCGGGGAGGCCGGCCGGCGA